UGUUCCCAUGCCGAACACUGAAGUUAAGCUCUUUAGCGCCGAUGGUAGUUGGGCUUACGUUCCGCGAGUGUAGGUCGUUGCCGGGC
Molecule: ribosomal RNA, 86 nt
Filed under: Mammaliicoccus sciuri
Lineage: Bacteria; Bacillati; Bacillota; Bacilli; Caryophanales; Staphylococcaceae
Source: RNAcentral